RNAcentral lists this long non-coding RNA (2456 nucleotides) under Meleagris gallopavo (turkey). RNAcentral describes it as "lncRNA (ENSMGAG00000021932.1)". Lineage: Eukaryota; Metazoa; Chordata; Aves; Galliformes; Phasianidae. The record is from RNAcentral.
AUGUAUUUCAGACUUCUUCAUAGAAAGCCACAAAUCUCCUUUUUCUGGCAUCCCAAACAAUUAAGGAUUCAUUUUUCUAUUCAGAAUUGCUGGACCUGUCUGGCUCACGUCUCCCUGCUCCUUCCACUCACACUAAACUGCACACACGGAUGCUCCCUGCAGAAAGAAGUCAGCUGCAGUCCAGCUCUGCAUGAGGCAAAGUCCUGUAGGGACUUCUGUAAAAACCAACCAGACAUGACUAUCACAAGUGAUCUCCCAUGCUUGCAGCCAGAAUCCCAGCUCAUCCACAUCACCUGGAACAGGCAAACACUCCAGAGACAAGUUUUCACGUCUUCAUCCUGCUUUGGCCCAGCACUCCGAUCCUGGCUCACAGAAAAGACAGCCCAGUAGAGAAGAUUCUGCGAAUUCUUGGAAGGCAAAAAAGCUGAUGUUAACAGGACAUGAGUACUAGGGGAGACUCCCCUUUUGUCUUUGCUUUUCAUUAUUGCUUGAUUGAUUUAAUCUCUUGUCUUUAUGUAAAAGGAAGCAAAUGAACUGGACUACACAAGCAGUGUAUGCUUCUCUGGCCAGAGGGUUUGCAGCUCCUUUAUAUGUACAUUCUUGUAUAGUCCAUUUUAGCUCUUUAGUCUGAUAGUUUGAUGUUCUUUUUCUUUAAUUGUGUAAAAAGCUGUCAUAGCUGAAUGUUGAACUUCAAGCAAGAUGCUAUUAGAUCUCCAGUUCCACUGACAGAUUACCCAGUCCAGGAAAUCCCUGCCGUAUAAAGGAGAACUUUGCCCUUUCCCCUGACUUUAGCUUCUGCUCCAGCUCUUCCUGCCUUGUGGUGGUGCUCAUUAAGUCCUUUGAUCCUUACGUGAGAAAAAAAAAGUGUGCAGCGUGGUUGGUUUUCCAAAAAAGAAUGUUGAAUCAACCCUUGGAGAGGUCCUAUGGUCCCUGGUGCUGGUACAAGGCAACGAGCAGGAGAGGGCAAAUGAAAGGAGAUGUCAACAGAGGAGGGGAACAGGCAGCUCAUCAGACCACUGUCUUCACCCCAGUUAACCUAAAGCUUUAGGUAGGAUCUGGGUCUACUUAGUUAGUCCAGAGAUUUUUCUUUGUAUCUCAGCCAUGUUCUUUACUACUGUCUUUUGGUACAAUGUGGACACUGAAACACGUGGUUCUAUUUCUUUCUUUAUUUAUUUAUUUUAAUAGCACAAAAGGCUGCUUGAGGUGUGGGUAACAGGAAGCAGCCAAAGGACAAAGUCUUUUGAAGAAUAAAAAAAUUAACAUGUCAGGGAAGAAAUUGAUCAGCUAAUUCCUUGUUUCUUCCUUCUCAUUGUUACGUUGUGUGUCUGCUACACACACCUCUUGAAGCAGUUAUUCUGGUUACACACAGAUCUAUGGAUUUUAUAGCCAGUUUGAUUGCUCAGACUCGCUGGCUGCUGCUGAGAGCAGCAUAAUGAUCAGUGAUAAUCAAAAGAAUGUGCAGACAGGCUGUAAGAACACAGACUUUAUCUCUGGGUAUGAAGAACGGAAACAAAGUGAAGAACUCGUGGAUUCUGAAGACAUUUGUGUUAUUUUCUAUUUUGAUGUAAUUUCUUUCCUUUAUUCCUUUCUUUCUUUUUUACAUAUUAAACUGUCUUUAUAUAAAUACAUGAGUUUUCUAACUUUUACCUUUCUAAUUCUCUCCAGCGGACUAUUAAGAAGUAAGCAAGCAGCUAUGUAGUUUUUAGCAGCCUAUAAGGGUUAACACACAACAGUUCUUUCUAGUGCCCAAUGUGAGGCAAUAAAGGGUUUUGAGUUAGCAAGAGAUUUGACUAGAACAUGUUAGAGGAAACUCAGAAUUUUUAUAUCUAUUAAACUGCUGCUGGUCAUGAUACUGACUUUUUUGUUCUCAGUGUUGUUUUUGAUUCAUGCCAUGCUCCUUUUUUGCUGUACAUCAAGUAUGAAAUCUUGUUAAAGGCUGUUUUUGGCUUUUGCAGUUUGCAGUGCUGUGUAGCACUUUGUUCUUACAUUGUGCCAUGGAGAAUUAUGGUAAAAGCACUAGCCCUGAGCCUAAUCUAUUACUGAGGCCCUGCAUUGCUUGCCUUGGAGACAGUUUACAGUCACACUGUUUCCCUAUUCUCUUCCAAGGGCCAAGUGUUGGAGAAAAUAAAGAAUCACACCUUCCCCUUUCUUCUCCCAUGGGGAAGAUGUUUCUAGACUUACAAUAAUGACUUCUUGGUAUUUUGAGCUUCCUUGAGUAACCAGCACGGAAUCAUUCCAUUUAUAGAACAAAUUGUCUAUUUACUUUGUAUUUUUGUUCAUUUUCUGGUUAAUCAGUUGGUGGUGGUUGUCUCUUUUGUGGGCUGUUUUGUUCUUUUCAAUUACAGAGGAAUCACUGGAUGCCAUAAAUAGACCAGGCAUUUGUUGAAUAAAAUCUUCUAUCACUAAAGCCAUUGCUCUUAGUUUUUGAUUUUGCAAAAAUUACAAAAUAAUCAAAU